RNAcentral lists this ribosomal RNA (282 nucleotides) under Triticum aestivum (bread wheat). RNAcentral's name for it is "partial small subunit ribosomal RNA". Lineage: Eukaryota; Viridiplantae; Streptophyta; Magnoliopsida; Poales; Poaceae. The record is from RNAcentral.
GAAGAGCAAGAAAGUGAACUUCUGCUCCUCAGUUCCUUGGAAGAUCUUGAUUUCUCUAUUCUACCAUAUCUCGAAGAUCUUCCUGCGGGGCUACAUAGCCAUCCCUCCCUCAAGAGGUUGGUGAUCUGCAGAUGUCCGAGAAUCUCAAGGCUGCCAGAAAAGGGCCUCCCGCCUUCGCUGGAAAAGUUGGAGACACGGUUUUGCAGCGAUGAGCUAAAUAAUCAAUGCAGAAUGCUAGCAUCAAGCAAGCUACUGGUCCGAACUGUUCCGCGCAUGAUUUGA